RNAcentral lists this long non-coding RNA (1844 nucleotides) under Homo sapiens (human). RNAcentral describes it as "HSALNT0409303". The record is from RNAcentral. Lineage: Eukaryota; Metazoa; Chordata; Mammalia; Primates; Hominidae.
CUCAGUUUAAUGUCUGGGCAGCUGUGAUAAUUUUAAAACAAUAAAUUCACAUUCCAGUGGCCAAGAAGGAAACUCUGUUUCUCCCACUUCUAUCGGAGAGCUGCAUGAUUCCUGUAGGAUGAGAAGGAGGCAGCCCUGUGUGGCUUUUUCUGGUAAUCUAGGAUCUGUUUUAUUAGAUCUGCCCAUCCUUUCUCAUUGUGGAGGGUUUCUUUCACUGUGCUAUAGCUGGGUGGGAGUGCCUCUUGCCAAAGAUCUAUUGGUUGCCAGGGAUUACAGGGAAAAAUAGAAACUUCAGGUAGGCUGGCUACACUCCAGGUUGUGGGUUGUUUUCUCAUUGUGGAGGCUCAGGUGGUUUUCACUUUGUAGAAGGCUUUGGGUUCUCUGACAGGAAUAUUUGAACAUUGCCUGGAUGCCAGGGCAAGUAACCUCAUUCAAUCAGGGGAGUCUUGAUUUUUCUUUCAUUUCAUGGGGGGUCCACAGUUCUCCUCAACAGUGCUAAUAGACAUUCUUUACAGGCUUACAAUCACCACAGACAACCUUUGAGACACUGUCCCAACAUCAUCUGCACCUAUGAAAGGCCAGUGCGAUGUGUGAGAACACUGCUCCACACUGGAUUUGUCUUUGUCGUGGUUCCUACCUUUCCCAGAGAGACCUUGUGAGGCCCAAAAUGAAGGGAGGCAGUGAGGCCAAGGCCCUGGUAGUCUGUCACUGACAUCUGCCUCUGGGGUCUCAGUUUCCUUGGUCUGGCUCAACGUCUUCUAAACUCAACAUUCCCCAGUUCAUGGAAAAUGAUCCUCAUGGGAUUCUAUUGUAAAAGCUGCAUGAUUCCUGGAGAAUGUUUUAUUGUCCUGAAGUCAACCCAAAAAUCAACACUACCAGUCAUGUUGCAGAGCUCCUUGAAUUAACCUUGAAUUCAGUUUCCAGCUGAGCAGCUGCUUCACGUUGUGAGGGGGCAAUCCUCCAUCAUCCUGGGAUUUCAUUCUGGGACACAGAGUUUGAGCAGCAAUAAGGCUGGGUCCACAUUGCCCCUCAACAGCAUUAGUGGACAUGAUUGUCAGACUUGCAAUUUCCGCAGACACCUUCUGUGAACAUUUUUCAACAUCAUCUACAUGAGUGAGAGACCCGUUCGACAUGUAAGAAUACUGCUUGACUUUGGACCUGCCUUUGUCGUGGUUCCUGCCUUUCUCAUAGAUCCCCUGCCAGGCCCAGGAUGAUAGGAGGCAAUGAAGUCAAGGGCCGAGCCCCAUUCAUUGAAAGCUGACUCUGGGGUCUCGGGUAUAAUUCCAUCACAUAAAAUCCCCUCAACAACUCACCAGACUAUAUUCCAAUCUCCAUGGAACCUGAUUCUUGCACACAGCCUCUUUCAGGAAUGGAGUCAGAAGAGCAGUCUUCAGAGACCACCUCAGUUUGGAAAAGCCUCCUCCUUCAGUGGUUCCCAGCCAUGGAGUCAUCGUGAAGGGGCUCCAUGGUCAAUAAUUUUACGGUACUGCACUUGGUUAUCACAGACAGACUUUUUCAUGAUAGCAUGCCAUCUCUGUCUAUAUCAUUUUCCUCUGCUUAGGCAGGCUGACAACUCUGACAGCCAGGGGCCCGAAUCUACCUGGCAAAUGUGCAUGCUCUACUCUCAGUGCAAAAGGCCUGUUUGGGAGUUCUGACUAGUGUCACAAUAAAUGCCGCCAUUGCCUAGUGACAAGUCCCUGUGGAUUGAGGGAGGAAACCUCCAUGUAGGGGCAUUGGUAGUGGACUCUCACCUGUCUUCUAAGUAAAAUGCAUGGGACAGUCCCAUGAUGCUAGGAGAGGGCAGACAGAAGCCAGCCUCAAGAAACCUCAAGGGCAGCCUCAGG